AGCGAACGCUGGCGGCAGGCCUAACACAUGCAAGUCGAACGAACCUUUCGGGGUUAGUGGCGGACGGGUGAGUAACACGUGGGAACGUGCCUUUAGGUUCGGAAUAACUCAGGGAAACUUGUGCUAAUACCGAAUGUGCCCUUCGGGGGAAAGAUUUAUCGCCUUUAGAGCGGCCCGCGUCUGAUUAGCUAGUUGGUUGAGGUAAUGGCUCACCAAGGCGACGAUCAGUAGCUGGUCUGAGAGGAUGAUCAGCCACAUUGGGACUGAGACACGGCCCAAACUCCGAGGGGAGGCGGCAGGGGGGAAUCUUGCGAAAGGGGCAAAAGCCGGACACAGCCAUGCCGGGUGAAGGAGAAAGGUCUUGGGAUUGAAAAAUUCUUUCACGGGGGACGAUAAUGAGGGAACCGGAAGAAGAAGCCCCGGCAAACUUCGUC
RNAcentral lists this ribosomal RNA (434 nucleotides) under uncultured bacterium. RNAcentral's name for it is "partial 16S ribosomal RNA". It matches the Rfam family "Bacterial small subunit ribosomal RNA", at positions 29 to 507 of the family's 1533-position model. The record is from RNAcentral.